CUUAAGUGUAGUACAGAGGGAGUGCUGCACUGCUGGCAAUGCUGUCUUGUGGAUGAGAGAGUAAACCAAGGCCUCCUCUGCUUUCUAAGAAAACAGAAUGCCCAUCUGCUCCCCUCCAACAUAUGACACACAGAGAGUCAAGCAGCACUCAUUUUUGCUGUCUGCCCUAGUGAGCACCGCUGGGAAGGCCUUAGCUGCUGACAAACUGAGAAACACUGAAGUCCCAGGAUUAAGGAACAAUUCAAGUGACAGGAAGACCCAGCAGCUGUAAGCAUUAACGAAACUAACUGCUUGGAAUCAAACUUGUUGACUACUUUAGUUUUUUCAUAAAUGUAAAGCCAAUGCAACAACGGAUGUCAUUCUUGAGUUG
Chiloscyllium plagiosum (whitespotted bambooshark) is the source of this 370-nucleotide long non-coding RNA. RefSeq lists it as uncharacterized. Lineage: Eukaryota; Metazoa; Chordata; Chondrichthyes; Orectolobiformes; Hemiscylliidae. The record is from RefSeq and is a predicted model, not a curated record.